This 228-nucleotide ribosomal RNA is filed under the name uncultured Planctomycetota bacterium. RNAcentral describes it as "uncultured planctomycete partial 16S ribosomal RNA". It matches the Rfam family "Bacterial small subunit ribosomal RNA", at positions 567 to 792 of the family's 1533-position model. Lineage: Bacteria; Pseudomonadati; Planctomycetota. The record is from RNAcentral.
AGCACGUAGGUGGGUUUGUAAGUCAGUUGUGAAAGCCUUCCGCUUAACGGAAGAACGGCAUCUGAUACUACAGGGCUUGUGUACGGGAGGGGAGAGUGGAACUUCUGGUGGAGCGGUGAAAUGCGUAGAUAUCAGAAGGAACGCCGGCGGCGAAAGCGACUCUCUGGUCCGAAACUGACGCUGAGUGUGCGAAAGCUAGGGGAGCAAACGGGAUUAGAUACCCCGGUA